CCUACGGGGGGCAGCAGUGGGGGAUAUUGCACAAUGGGGGGAACCCUGAUGCAGCGACGCCGCGUGGGUGAAGAAGCGCCUCGGCGCGUAAAGCCCUGUCAGCAGGGAAGAAAAUGACGGUACCUGAAGACGAAGCCCCGGCUAACUACGUGCCAGCAGCCGCGGUAAUACGUAGGGGGCAAGCGUUAUCCGGAUUUACUGGGUGUAAAGGGGGCGGAGACGGCGGUGCAAGCCAGGAGUGAAAGCCCGGGGGCCAACCCCGGGACUGCUCUUGGAACUGCGUGGCUGGAGUGCAGGAGGGGCAGGCGGAAUUCCUGGUGUAGCGGUGAAAUGCGUAGAUAUCAGGAGGAACACCGGUGGCGAAGGCGGCCUGCUGGACUGCAACUGACGUUGAGGCCCGAAAGCGUGGGGAGCAAACAGGAUUAGAUACCCCUGUAGUC
This 440-nucleotide ribosomal RNA is filed under the name uncultured bacterium. Its description in RNAcentral is "partial 16S ribosomal RNA". It matches the Rfam family "Bacterial small subunit ribosomal RNA", at positions 338 to 795 of the family's 1533-position model. The record is from RNAcentral.